This 69-nucleotide transfer RNA is filed under the name Ictidomys tridecemlineatus (thirteen-lined ground squirrel). RNAcentral's name for it is "Spermophilus tridecemlineatus (thirteen-lined ground squirrel) tRNA". It matches the Rfam family "tRNA". Rfam says of the family: Transfer RNA (tRNA) molecules are approximately 80 nucleotides in length. Their secondary structure includes four short double-helical elements and three loops (D, anti-codon, and T loops). Lineage: Eukaryota; Metazoa; Chordata; Mammalia; Rodentia; Sciuridae. The record is from Rfam by way of RNAcentral.
GGGGUUGUGGCUCGGUGGUAGAGCGCUCACUUACCAUAUGAGAGGCCCUGGGUUUGAUCCUCAGCACCA